AGUAAAAUAAGCUAAUCUAUUAAGCUUCUGGGUCCAUACCCCAGAUAUGUGGGUUAAAAUCCCAUUAUUACUA
This 73-nucleotide transfer RNA is filed under the name Pampus echinogaster. RNAcentral describes it as "tRNA-Met". It matches the Rfam family "tRNA". Rfam says of the family: Transfer RNA (tRNA) molecules are approximately 80 nucleotides in length. The record is from RNAcentral. RNAcentral also lists the same sequence under 2 other names. Lineage: Eukaryota; Metazoa; Chordata; Actinopteri; Scombriformes; Stromateidae.